Molecule: non-coding RNA, 306 nt
Organism: Brachypodium distachyon (stiff brome)
Lineage: Eukaryota; Viridiplantae; Streptophyta; Magnoliopsida; Poales; Poaceae
Source: Rfam
GAGGAGCAGCAGGCAACAGACAACCUGGCGAACUGGAGCAUGUUAGAAGCCAGAGGAAAAGAAAGCAAAAACGAUUCCCAUAGUAGGGGCGAGCGAAAUGGGAGCAGCCUAAACCGUGGAAACGGGGUUGUGGGAGAGCAAUACAAGCAUUGUGCUGCUAGGCGAAGCGGUUGAGUGCUGCACCCUAGAUGGCUAAAGUCCAGUAGCCGAAAGCAUCGCUAGCUUAGCUCUGACCCGAGUAGCAUGGGGCACGUGGAAUCAUGUGGCUAGGACGGGGGGUGUAAAUCAUGGGGUGUGUACAUCCUC